CUUAUUUCAUGCUCUUUCUUGGAGCUGGAAUGAUGGCUGCACUUGCAAUCUGGGUUUAGAUUAUUAUUAUUUUUUUAUUGUAUUCAGGAGAAUAGUGCUACUUUCUCACAAAAGUGUGGGCUAUUCUUGUAAUACAAAGAAAAGUGUUGUAAUACAAAGAAUAUGCCCCGCUGAUAAAAGAUGGUGCAUGGCCUGAUCUCUGAGUGAGAAUAGAAGUCAUUAAGUGAAUGUUGUUGUAGUCUUUU
Molecule: unclassified non-coding RNA, 245 nt
Filed under: Hevea brasiliensis (rubber tree)
Lineage: Eukaryota; Viridiplantae; Streptophyta; Magnoliopsida; Malpighiales; Euphorbiaceae
Source: RNAcentral